UACAGAGGUCUCAAGCGUUGUUCGGAUUCAUUGGGCGUAAAGGGUGCGUAGGUGGCGCCGUAAGUCAGGUGUGAAAUCCCGGGGCUCAACCCCGGAACUGCACUUGAUACUGCGGUGCUCGAGUACUGGAGAGGAGAUUGGAAUUUACGGUGUAGCAGUGAAAUGCGUAGAUAUCGUAAGGAAGACCAGUGGCGAAGGCGGGUCUCUGGACAGUUCCUGACGCUGAGGAGCGAAAGCCAGGGGAGCAAACGGG
RNAcentral lists this ribosomal RNA (253 nucleotides) under uncultured bacterium. RNAcentral describes it as "partial 16S ribosomal RNA". It matches the Rfam family "Bacterial small subunit ribosomal RNA", at positions 524 to 776 of the family's 1533-position model. The record is from RNAcentral.